RNAcentral lists this ribosomal RNA (253 nucleotides) under uncultured bacterium. Its description in RNAcentral is "partial 16S ribosomal RNA". It matches the Rfam family "Bacterial small subunit ribosomal RNA", at positions 524 to 776 of the family's 1533-position model. The record is from RNAcentral.
UACGUAGGUUACAAGCGUUGUCCGGAAUUAUUGGGCGUAAAGAGCUCGUAGGCGGUCUGUCGCGUCUGCUGUGAAAACUCAGGGCUUAACCCUGAGCUUGCAGUGGGUACGGGCAGACUAGAGUGCGGUAGGGGAGACUGGAAUUCCUGGUGUAGCGGUGAAAUGCGCAGAUAUCAGGAGGAACACCGGUGGCGAAGGCGGGUCUCUGGGCCGUAACUGACGCUGAGGCGCGAAAGCAUGGGGAGCGAACAGG